This 117-nucleotide small RNA is filed under the name Kaistella chaponensis. RNAcentral's name for it is "Chryseobacterium chaponense Flavo-1 RNA". It matches the Rfam family "Flavo-1 RNA". The record is from RNAcentral. Lineage: Bacteria; Pseudomonadati; Bacteroidota; Flavobacteriia; Flavobacteriales; Weeksellaceae.
UUCUAGCCGUGAUGGAAGUGGUAUCCUUUUUCUGUUAUUGCGAUUCCGAAUCGUAAUUAAAGUUUCUUCUUUUCUUCGCAAGAACAGAAAAAGAUAAAACGGACAGCGCGACCUUUU